This 500-nucleotide long non-coding RNA is filed under the name Mus musculus (house mouse). RNAcentral describes it as "predicted gene, 30567". Lineage: Eukaryota; Metazoa; Chordata; Mammalia; Rodentia; Muridae. The record is from RNAcentral.
GUCAGUCUUCCACUAGCAGCCUUUGGAUGAAGACAUAGAACUCUCAGCUCCUCCAGCUCCAUGCCUGCCUGGAUACUGCCAUGCUCUCACCUUGAUGAUAAUGGACUGAACCUCUGAACCUGAGGCAAUGCCAAGAUUUACAGGAUUCGGGAUUCCUAAUUGAAUCGUCUGAGCGUGGAGAGUGCUUGCUCUGGGAAUCUUCAGAGGCGGGAGAGUGGUUUGUCAGUGUCAAGUGUCUGGUGUGGCUCUGUGGACUGGGGCUGUGGGCUCGACUGUGAUCGCUCAUUGCCUUCAGGGUAUGCACUGUUCUAAUACAAGAAACAUUUCACAAGGAAAAGAAACAACUCAAACUUGGACUGGUGGCAGGUGGAGCCCCUGCCAGGCUGACUCUGAGGGGAGGGGUGGGUGUUUUAGAGAGUUGCAAUAGAGGUAAGGACUCAAAGUUCUGGGGAGCUUUAGCCUUGGCAUGCUAAAUUCUGGCUGUGUGAUCUUUCAUAAGU